RNAcentral lists this ribosomal RNA (359 nucleotides) under uncultured bacterium. RNAcentral's name for it is "partial 16S ribosomal RNA". It matches the Rfam family "Bacterial small subunit ribosomal RNA", at positions 338 to 694 of the family's 1533-position model. The record is from RNAcentral.
CCUACGGGAGGCAGCAGUGAGGAAUAUUGGUCAAUGGGCGCGAGCCUGAACCAGCCAAGUAGCGUGAAGGAUGACUGCCCUACGGGUUGUAAACUUCUUUUAUAAAGGAAUAAAGUGAGGCACGUGUGCGUUUUUGUAUGUACUUUAUGAAUAAGGAUCGGCUAACUCCGUGCCAGCAGCCGCGGUAAUACGGAGGAUCCGAGCGUUAUCCGGAUUUAUUGGGUUUAAAGGGAGCGUAGAGGGGUUGUUAAGUCAGUUGUGAAAGUUUGCGGCUCAACCGUAACAUUGCAAUUGAAACUGGCAGCAUUGAGUACAGGUGAGGUGAGCGGAAUUCGUGGUGUAGCGGUGAAAUGCUUAGA